UUGUUUGAGCUUUAAUAUGUAUAGUAAUGCAAUCAUGGCGGGGAAAGUGAAUACCUCAAAUGCUGCAACAAAUACUCUCACAUGGAAGUAUGAGUGAUGCAGAAUUUUUUCAUAGACAAGUUCAUCUUGUGGUUUCUGAAGGAAUUUUGACCAUGGAUCUAUUUCCUUACCAUUCUUUAGGGUUCCAGGUUUCAAUCUAAUGGUAAAUAGGACAGAGCCAAUCAGCUUGGUUGGAUAUACAAAUUAAAUUUUUUGAAGCUGCUACAAACAGAAUCACAUUUCUUAUCACACAAAUAUAACAAAAGCUGCCCAUUACAGACGUAGAGUGCAGAGUACACUGUUAAAGCUACAGGAGGGACAGCCCUAGAGCAAGGUUUCAAGUGCAGAGCACGACAGGAAUGUAGGGUAAUGCACUCUUGGUGAUACAACUUUGGAGAUAACCGUCACAAUGACUUUGAAGGAAAUGGUCAUAAGAACACUCGUCAGAAAGUACAAGGAACUGCCUAAGUGAUAUGGAGAACACAGAUUCUGAAUCCUUAUUAAUCUGGCUGUAUCAAAUUUUCAUAGACCAGCAUAUGACAGACAAAAGAAAAGAGGAGAAAGGGGAGGGAGAUUUGGUAAAUGGUAGAUUAGCAUUUUAUCUUCAAAAUGGGAUGCAAUCCCAGACGACAGAGACUAGAUUGUUGGCAAUAAAAGUGACAUGUGCCUGCAGCUUCAAUUCCAUAAUCAUAUUUUUCAGAAUUGUUCCUAUCUUUGAGGUCACUCUGUACUGUGAGGAUUUGUGAGCGCAGAGCUCUAAGGAACUUGGUUGCCUUUUGAUCAUGAUGGGUUGUUGAGGUAUGGGUAUGGAGAAGCAUUUCGUCAUACUUUAGCAUUUGGUAAAGACUGUAGCUUAAUUAAGCCUAUAGUGUAAGCUGGAAUUGCCAGUCUCAAUAAAUGAAUUAAACAUCAAUUUUAAUAAUAAAAAAUAAAUACAGCUACAGUGUACAAAAAUAAACCAGGUUCACACGAUGGACCUAUCAUAAAUAAUGUUUUUUUCAUCUACAGAUGUCUUAACCUUUUUGUUCUUGCUAGAGUCAUACUCUUCAAACACACACAGAUGGGAAAACGACACCGAGAUCAACAUAAUGAUUCAAUGCCUACGAAAGAAUUAAACAACAUUUUACACAAACAUCUGCAUUUGUACACAAACAUCCUCCCCCACGUUUACACAAACAUCCUCCCCUAUGUUUUACACAAACAUCUGCAUUUGUACAAGUCAAUUUUGCCUAUUUUUGACACUAGGCGGGGACUCAUGCUGUCUCACAGCUCUUGUUUA
Long non-coding RNA from Cryptomeria japonica (Japanese cedar), 1318 nucleotides. RefSeq lists it as uncharacterized. The transcript is spliced from 6 exons. NCBI's taxonomy places the organism in Eukaryota, Viridiplantae, Streptophyta, Pinopsida, Cupressales, Cupressaceae. The record is from RefSeq and is a predicted model, not a curated record.